RNAcentral lists this ribosomal RNA (468 nucleotides) under uncultured bacterium. Its description in RNAcentral is "partial 16S ribosomal RNA". It matches the Rfam family "Bacterial small subunit ribosomal RNA", at positions 28 to 507 of the family's 1533-position model. The record is from RNAcentral.
GACGAACGCUGGCGGCGUGCUUAACACAUGCAAGUCGAACGGAAAGGCCCUGCUUUUGUGGGGUGCUCGAGUGGCGAACGGGUGAGUAACACGUGAGUAACCUGCCCUUGACUUUGGGAUAACUUCAGGAAACUGGGGCUAAUACCGGAUAGGAGCUCCUGCUGCAUGGUGGGGGUUGGAAAGUUUCGGCGGUUGGGGAUGGACUCGCGGCUUAUCAGCUUGUUGGUGGGGUAGUGGCUUACCAAGGCUUUGACGGGUAGCCGGCCUGAGAGGGUGACCGGCCACAUUGGGACUGAGAUACGGCCAAGACUCCUACGGGAGGCAGCAGUGGGGAAUAUUGCACAAUGGGCGGAAGCCUGAUGCAGCAACGCUGCGUGCGGGAUGACGGCCUUCGGGUUGUAAACCGCUUUCGCCUGUGACGAAGCGUGAGUGACGGUAAUGGGUAAAGAAGCACCGGCUAACUACGUG